This 461-nucleotide ribosomal RNA is filed under the name uncultured bacterium. Its description in RNAcentral is "partial 16S ribosomal RNA". It matches the Rfam family "Bacterial small subunit ribosomal RNA", at positions 338 to 795 of the family's 1533-position model. The record is from RNAcentral.
CCUACGGGCGGCAGCAGUGAGGAAUAUUGGUCAAUGGGCUUACGCCUGAACCAGCCAAGUCGCGUGAGGGAAGACUGCCCUAUGGGUUGUAAACCUCUUUUGUCAGGGAGCAACGCCGGCUACGUGUAGCCGGACUGAGAGUACCUGAGUAAGAAGCCCCGGCUAACUACGUGCCAGCAGCCGCGGUAAUACGUAGGGGGCAAGCGUUAUCCGGAUUUACUGGGUGUAAAGGGAGCGUAGACGGCAUGGCAAGUCUGAAGUGAAAGCCCGGGGCUCAACCGCGGGACUGCUUUGGAAACUGUUAAGCGGGAGUGCAGGAGAGGUAAGUGGAAUUCCUGGUGUAGCGGUGAAAUGCGUAGAUAUUAGGAGGAACACCAGUGGCGAAGGCGGCUUACUGGACUGUAACUGACGUUGAGGCUCGAAAGCGUGGGGAGCAAACAGGAUUAGAUACCCGAGUAGUC